RNAcentral lists this long non-coding RNA (7722 nucleotides) under Lactuca sativa (garden lettuce). RNAcentral describes it as "long non-coding RNA (LSAT_LNC008952)". Lineage: Eukaryota; Viridiplantae; Streptophyta; Magnoliopsida; Asterales; Asteraceae. The record is from RNAcentral.
AGAAAUGACAUUUGGCACCCGUAGACUUGCAAGUACCACUGUAGCGAGUAGCAAGGUGUAGGAUAGUCAAUCUAGUAUAGAUCUAUAUGCAAACUCAUAUGCUCCCCAAUUAAGGAGAUUCAUGAUACAAAAGCGGUCAUGGCAGGAAGUGCCAUGACCCGCUCAAUGGUUCACAUAACUGCAUGAAUGUAUAUGUAAUGAAUGUGCUAACUGGAAGUGUACUCUUUCUCUGUCUAGCCUGUNCUAACUGAAAGUGUACUCUUUCUCUGUCUAGCCUGUAUGUAUUGUAAUGUUCUACGUGUACUAGCUGUAAUGUAUGUUCUCUCUCUAUCUAGCAUGUAUAGUAAUGUAUUGACUCAUGAAUGAAUAGACUCAUUGUAUGUUUCAUUGUUCUAGUAAUAGUAUUUGUAUCCUCCUGUGCUACCCCUAUGGUAACUUACUAGUGAUGUAACUGGUACGUAUGAACAUGGAAGUAUACCCUUGCUACCCAAGGUUAUUGAAUGGACUGGAAGAAACUUUAUGACUAUAUAUGUACACAUGAUAUAUAACUAAUAUUUAAACGACCUUCGGACGGAUACCCGAUACCCCACCAACGGCGAAAAGGAAAUAAGGCGGCUGGCCUUCCUAAGCCUUUCAAACAUUUCUUAUAUAACCAUCUAAAGUAAGCAUGCAAUUGACAAUGUAAUAGUAUAAAGAAGUUUAUACUAUUACAUAUGUAUGAACUCACCCUUCAGGUGAGUUCAUACAUAUGUAAGCAUGCAAUUGACAAUGUAAUAGUAUAAAUGAAGUUUUGGAAAACUAUCUGAAGUAAACUAUUUGGUAAAACAACUAAAGGAAUAAUAAAUCCUUUUGUAUGUUGCUUAUUAAUCACGUGUUUCAACUUGUAUCCCCCACAUAUAAACAUUUAAAACAUUUAAAUCAAUGAUUAAAGGGGUAUGAACUCACCUGAAGAUGGUGGUUUGGAUGAACUGAACGAUGUAGGAUUGCUAAGUGUUAAGUGAAAACUUGUACACACCCAAGGGUCCUAGUUAACAUAUAAUCACACAUAUAUGUACCCAGUUAGUCUUAAACUACUAAUUGAAAAUGCUAAGACCUCCUAGAACAUGCUAAACACCUUAUCUAAGUGUUAUAAGCCCUAAGGAUUGCAUCUAAGUUGUUGUAGGACAAGGCUAGUGUGUGUAGGAUUCAAGGAAAACUCCCUAAUGGAGUUCACGGCCCUAAUGUCACCAACAAAUGAGUUUACUGUCAUAAACUCAUGGGUUUACGACCAUAAGCUCAUACUUACUUGAUCUUUUGAUGUUUUGAGGCUUUACAAGACACUAAGAAGCAUUUCUACUUAAUGGCAAGGUCUUUGGAAGAGAUUAGGGCACCUUUCAACUCCUUUGGGGAGUUUACGACCCUAAGACCACUUACCAUAGAGAUUACGGCCGUAAUCUCUCAUGGAAUGGUGUUUUUGGUGUUUUCAAGCCCCUAACUUAACUAGGAAUGAAUCUAGGCUAGUGUCCAAGGCUUAUGGAGAGUUUAAAGCACACUUUGGCCCUUUUGUUUGGAGUUCACGGUCCAAGAACUUCUUGGGCCAUGAACACCUUACUCUUGGUGUUCUUGGGGUGUUUUCUACUCCUACAUACUUUAGGAUACUAGUCUAAGCUAGUUUCAUUGCAAGAGGAAGGGUAUAGGGCACUCUUUGCCCCUUAAAGAAGGGUUUACGGUCCAAGAUGUUCUUGGGCCGUAAACUCUUUGAUCUUGUGGGUUUCUUAUGAUUUCUAGUGUAUUAGACACAUAUCAAGCCUUAUAACACACUUAGGUAGAAGUACUCACGAUUUGGGACGAAAGGUCGAAGAUCCGUGAGAGAGAAUUUGGCUUUUCUCUAGUUGGAAAUGUAACAAAUGAAUAAAUAUGGCUUAGAACCAUAUAUAUACCCUUAGGGUUUUUGGCAGAAAAUAUUUUAUUUAGGCAUUGAAUUCUAAUAUCAACGAGUUUUGGAAUAACAGAGUUGCACAAUACCCUAGUGUAUCCUCUCUCCUAAUAUCUCUUUAAGUGUAAAUCCUGAAAUACUCAAACUUAUACUAAAAGUCUGAAAAUUUACUGCAACUAUUCUAACUUUUAUUGACUUUAUAUUCUUUGUACAGAAUGGAAAUUUCGGGUUGUCACAUCAUCCCCCCGUUAGAGGGAAUUUCGUCCCGAAAUUAGAAUUUAGGUAAGGAAGUAGGUAUGAAUGAUCGAGUCAUGUGGUGGAAACUUCCUAAUCGAUUGGUUCUCGCGCUCAUAAGUGAAUUCGGGUCCUCGGUUGGUAUCCCAACGAACCUUCACUAAAGGGAGGCGGCGCUGCUUCGUCCACUUGACCUCUCGGUCGAGGGUCACUAUGGUUCUUCUAUGAAGGCGAGGAUCUCGUUAAUCUCGAUCUCGUCGAGUGGACUUACGAGAGUCCUGACGGAAAGGUACGUUUUUAAGUUCGAGACGUGAAGGGUAAAAUGUACGUUACUGAGUUCGCGGAGUAGGUCUAGUUUGUGGGAUACAGGACCGAUUCCGGUAAGAAUCUUGGAGGCCCUGACUAUCUUGGAUUUGGCUUUCCACGCGUUACGAAGCGUAUUAAUCCAUUCCCAGAGUGAGUUUUCCUAAAGAACUUGGUCUCUCACUUGGAAUUCCAAGGUUUCGUUCUCUUGCUUAACUUCCCAGUCAAGGGCCACCCCUUGCUGGGUCAAAGUCGUAAGGGUUUCUGUAAUUUCCGAGGAGUUCUGAAUGGACUACGAUAGUAGGUCUUUAAGACCUAGAAUUUGGCGAAUUUCUGUCGGCGUCUUCGAUGUUGACACAUUCUCAAUGGUGUUGAUAAAUUGAAAGAGUACUCAAGAAUUCCCACAACACCAAUAGUAUGUCUUAGGAAUCUAACUCUUCAAUUCCAAAACUCGUGUUUAGAGAACUUCGCGAAAGUUUCUCUGAGGGUAAUGUUUCCAUGGAUUCCUUCUUACUACGAGGGUAGAUAAGUAAAUCAUCACAAGGAGGAUGACGAACUGAUCCAAGUAAGAAUGGCGUACCCUAUUCAUUAAGCUCAUGAAUACUAUGGGCGUAUUGGUCCUAUCCGAGGGGUAUUACCACUGACUCGAAGUGUCCGCAUCGAGUUUGGAAGGUAGUCUUCGGGACAUCCUUCCCUAACAAUCGAAACUGUUGGUAUUCGGAUCUCGGUCCACUUCUGAAAGGUAAAUCGUUCCUUGUGUUUGCUCAACCAAAUUAUCUAUGAGAGGCAGAGAUAACGAUUUCUACUAGAAAUCUUGACAGAGUCCCCGAUAGUCGAGGCACAUAUGAUACAAUUCCAUCUACUCCUAGAAGGAUAAGACCGGAGCUCUCCAAGGUGAGAAGCCUAGUCUUCCAAUCCUAUUGCCGAGUAGUUCGCUAAGUUGUCCGGAUUGUUCUUGUAUCUUCAUGGGCGUUAGACCGUAGGGCGAUCUGUUUAUAGAAGUCGUACUGGUUUCUAAGUUUGUUCACAUGACGAUGCGAUUACUCUUAGUCUUGGGCAGUCUCCGUCCUGAAGUUCACAUUUAGAAGUCAUACAUGGUUCAUCAAUCGCAGUCUCGUGUAUACGAGUCGUAUAUAAUUAAGAUUGAAAAGGUAGUCGAAUAGCUGAUUCUUCUUUAAGCUCUUAUCCCAACGAGGAAAAGAAGUUAAAGUGGAAUUAUCAAUUCUAAACCUGUAGAACCUUGAUUAUAUAUCACCCCUAUGUAUACAUUCCUUAGCGAUAGAUCAACCGUAUGGAUCAUUGGAUUGAACUUGACGUACCGUACGAGUGGUACUUCGGGAAUUUCUUUGCUAAGGAAAAGAACUAUGAGGUACUCCAUGCAUGAGUACUUUGGAGUUCUGUAAUGACGGCUUCAUUAAAAAGACGUUUGCGAAGAAAGAGAUGUAUGUAUGAAGCUGGUAUUGUGCGGAUCAAUUUGAAUCUAGUUGUAUGAUAACGUCAGAAUCAUAAGGAAACUUAAAGACAUUAGAUUUGAACAUAAGGCGUUACAGACAAAACAUAACUGUGCAACCAUCAACAGAGUUUCAGUAUCAUAGGCUAAUUAUAGGACUACUGUUGCGAAUAGGGUAUACUACAAAAGACAAGUAUACGCAGCACGAGGAUCCCUCUACAGGCGGGAUCUCGCAAAAGAUAAGACCGGAGUUGCACUAGCAUUAAAUAGUUUGAAAGCAUACAUAAAUACUGCCAAAAGAAAGUGAACCUAUGUUAUAGCAAGGUUCGGGGUUCAAACUCCUCCUGUUCCCCCGUUGUUCUUCUCUGAUGGGCAGUCCUUCUUGAAGUGUCCCAUUACACCACAUAGGUGGUAUACAUGAGAAGUUCCGAAAUUUGUGGUUGAAGUAAUGUGUCGGAUCAGAGUAUUGUAGUAACGGAUGGUGUGUCCCUUUCUGUUGCAGUUUAAGCACUGCAUUUCCCAACAAAGUCCAUGGUUGUGCUAAUUGCAUUUGAUGCAUUUUAGGAGUUUGCCCGCAUAAGGUAUGACUGGGUUAACUGGGAUACCAGAAGGAAUGGCAGUGGGAGGUACAAAUGUCGUGGCUGGGAAGGCCGCCACUAGUUGUUGUCUUUUGCUCGUUCCUUGGGGUGAUUUUCCCUUGACUCCCUCCCUGAACAACCGUUUGCUGUUCUUGGGCUUAAGAUACAGAGUGUUGUGGUAGUUCGUUGUUCCUAGGUGUACUUGGUUGUCACUUGGAUUAGAAUCGCUGAUACCCAUUCCGCUAACAUUUGCGUUGUUAGCGUUAAGGUGGGUCAGAACAACUGUCACGGCAGCUAAGACUGCGACUAGAAAGGUAGAUGCAUCAAUAUAAAGGGUAUGGGUUUCGUUGUUCGGUUGACUAUUUCCGGAUGGAGGCAUGAUUCUGCAAUACGAAAGAAAAGGACUUUGUGAGCGAUUUUGGUUGACCCGAGAUGCACUUCGGCUGUUCAAGUAAAGAGUAAGAGUAUGAUCUCGAAAGUUUGACCUACAUCCCUAUGAUGCAGUUCUAGUACGGGUUGGAAGUAUGUUCGCGAAGGUUUGACCUACAUCCCUAUGAUGCAGUCCUAAUACUGAGUGGAAGUAAGUUCAUAGUACGGUCUUAUGACGCUUGACGUUCAAGCCGGGGUACCAUUGGUUGGGGAAUAACAUGACCCAACCUUUGGUAGAGAAUUGGGAAUGAUCCCGAAGCUAAAUUACCCUAGUCCAAUAGCUUGACUAGAGUGGGUUCCAGAUAGGCUCCCAUGAUGGCAUGAUGAAAGUAAUUGAAUAAAGAAUGACACAGAAGUUAGCCGAUUGUCAAUAUCUUUGAUAUUCAUGACGUACAAGUUCGGGGAAAUGACCUUGUAACAGGUCUUACAUCAUAUCCAGAGAAGAUAGUUAUUGACAGCAUAAAGGCCAAACUAAAGUACUUACAGUACAAGAUAGUUUCAUAGAAAAUGCCAUAUCGGGCAUAGACAGAAAAUGAUUCCUUUUAACAAGGAAAAUAAAGUAAAGCAUCUACUACUGGCGAAGGUCAUCCAUCUGGUGAACUCUCAGUUUAGCCAGUGCUUGCAGCAGGGUUUCAUGGUCUCUCUCAGAUAUCUCACGAGCAUCUUCCAGGCGAAUGGUGCAAAGGGUAUGCAUUCUCGCAUCAGCGACAACUUCGGUGAUCUGACGUAGGGCUGUCCUGCCUUGAAUCUCAUUUCGAGCUACUCUGCGGACCAGGAUUGGCAAGAUUCUAUCUGUUGAGCCCCCAUUUCUCAGGUCAUAAAAGCUUCGGUCACCGUUAAAUGGCAUGGGCUGGUCUUGUCCUUGGCUCCAUGUUUCCAAGGAUUCCACUCACGGAGUCGUCGGGCCAUGAAAAGCCGGACGAGGGUUAGGAUUUGGAAAGGGAGCUGUCUGGGGUAGGUUCUCAACCUCGGGUUCGGAGGUAGCACCAUCCAAAAGGUCUUCAUCAUGGUGAUCAAUCACAGGGAUAGGAUGAUCAUUCUCUGGUUCUCCUUCAAACCAUCCAGCAAUGACCUCAUUCGGAAGGUAUUGGUUGCCGUGGGGAUGGAGUCCAGCCAUGUUAUCUACGCGAGAAUUGGGGUAAGAAAAUAAUUAUUAGACGAACUAUCUAGAUAAUUAUUUACAAAAUCUUCAUUAGUUACAUCACUAUUUGUGAAGUGCAUACCAGUUAUAUGUAAUCGAAACAUGAUAGGCCUUCGAAUAAGUGACCUUAACUCCAAAUUCACAAAGAAUAGGGAUACAACAAAAUUUUCAUAGAUUCUAAGUCUAUAACAUCCUAGUUACAUAUAACUUUAGUGUAUCCACCUAGCAACUAUCAACUUAGUAAUGAAGAUUCCGUUUUAGUUCUCAAGUAUAAAGUACUUAUAGUAACACCAAAUACCCCUAUAGUAUUUUAUGUUUAAUGUUAUGUUCUACAGUUCUCAGUGUGGUAUUGUUGGUAAGAUUUUAGACUUGUUACGGCCACACAACUACACUUAGGCACAUGCUAGUCAACCCUCAGAUAAUAUAGUUGAUCAGGCUAUAUCUUCCCAGUUUUGACUAUAUGUCUCUAAGUCCACCUAUGUUGCCCAACAAUCGUAAUUCUUUUGUACUGUCCUAGUGACACUGAUUUUAGUAUGAAUGCGGCACAUAUACUUAAUUAAAUACUUUAUUAUUUAAAGUAUAAACUCUUGGUCAGAGUAUAUUAAUACCAUUGUAUUUAUAGUCUGUAUAUCUUUUAUGGGUUGAUAUACUUAAUUCACUAUAAACAAUGCUCUGAUACCAAUCUGUCACACCCCAAAACCAUGAACGACGGAAACGUUCUGAGGCGGAGGACGUCAUGUACAGUAUCACAACAAUGAAUAGUAGUAAACAAGCAACAACAUCAUCCAUUGCUUUAAUAAUAUAAUUUUAAUACAAGUGUUCUGAUAUGUCUAAUAGACGCUAAAGUAAAAAUCAAAAUGAAAGCUGAGUCUUGAACGAGCUCCGUCUUCUCUAAACCUUGCAUGUGUACCUAUCUAUAGUUGACCUGAGGAUACAAUUUAUAUUGAAAAUGAGGAUCAGCUUUAAAGCUGGUGAGAUCAUAAGUAUUUUAGUGUCUUAAUUUGUAUGUAAGUAUUUGUAUNACAUGGUUUUAAGCAUGAGUUUGUAAACAUUGGUGACAAAAGUAUUUGAACGUUUGUAAAUGUUUGUAAAAGUUUGAAUCUCUCAAAAAAACCUAUAUUUUCUAUUAAAAGUAGCCUUCUACUAAGGCGUAACUGUUUUGUAUGUUCAUUUAUUGUAAAAGGGUGUAAUUUUCCCAAGUGUAACUAUCAUUAACAAAAUAUAGUUUGUACAUUAUGUUUAAGUGAAAUGAUCACUAAAUAUAUGUAAAGGGUAAAAUAACGUAGUACUGUAGUGUUGUAUUAUAGGAACUACUACUGUACUAACUACCUUAAACCGGAUUUAUAUUAAGGUAUCAUGUGAUUAAUUGUACCAUACUACCGACUAGGUAACACGACAUUGUAGGUCGUAAAAAGGUAUGACGUUUGCCACUCACAGACCUGCAGGUCCCACUAUAGCUAGCAGCAAGGUGUAGGAUAGUCAAUACAAUAUAGAUCUAUACGCAAACUCAUACGAUCUCCAAUUAAGGAGAUUCGGGAAACAAAAGCGGUCAUGGAAGGAAGUGCCAUGACCCGCUCAAUGGUUCACAUAACUGCAUGAAUGUAUAUGUAAUGAAUGUGCUAACUGGAAGUGUACUCUUUCUCUUUCUAGCCUGUAUGUACUGAAAUGUUCU